This 254-nucleotide ribosomal RNA is filed under the name uncultured bacterium. Its description in RNAcentral is "partial 16S ribosomal RNA". It matches the Rfam family "Bacterial small subunit ribosomal RNA", at positions 524 to 776 of the family's 1533-position model. The record is from RNAcentral.
UACGGGGGGGGCAAGCGUUGUUCGGAAUUACUGGGCGUAAAGGGCGCGUAGGCGGCCUGCUAAGUCGGACGUGAAAUCCCUCGGCUCAACCGGGGAACUGCGUCCGAUACUGGCGAGGCUUGAAUCCGGGAGAGGGAUGUGGAAUUCCAGGUGUAGCGGUGAAAUGCGUAGAUAUCUGGAAGAACACCGGUGGCGAAGGCGGCCUUCUGGACGAUGACUGACGCUGAGACGCGAAAGCGUGGGGAGCAAACAGG